This 497-nucleotide ribosomal RNA is filed under the name uncultured bacterium. RNAcentral describes it as "partial 16S ribosomal RNA". It matches the Rfam family "Bacterial small subunit ribosomal RNA", at positions 28 to 507 of the family's 1533-position model. The record is from RNAcentral.
GAUGAACGCUGGCGGCGUGCCUAAUACAUGCAAGUCGAGCGAACGGACGAGAAGCUUGCUUCUCUGAUGUUAGCGGCGGACGGGUGAGUAACACGUGGAUAACCUACCUAUAAGACUGGGAUAACUUCGGGAAACCGGAGCUAAUACCGGAUGAUAUUUUGAACCGCAUGGUUCAAAAGUGAAAGACGGUCUUGCUGUCACUUAUAGAUGGAUCCGCGCUGCAUUAGCUAGUUGGUAAGGUAACGGCUUACCAAGGCAACGAUGCAUAGCCGACCUGAGAGGGUGAUCAGCCACACUGGAACUGAGACACGGUCCAGACUCCUACGGGAGGCAGCAGUAGGGAAUAUUCCGCAAUGGGCGAAAGCCUGACGGAGCAACGCCGCGUGAGUGAUGAAGGUCUUCGGAUCGUAAAACUCUGUUAUUAGGGAAGAACAUAUGUGUAAGUAACUGUGCACAUCUUGACGGUACCUAAACAGAAAGCCACGGCUAACUACGUG